This 315-nucleotide unclassified non-coding RNA is filed under the name plant metagenome. Its description in RNAcentral is "partial contains 5.8S ribosomal RNA, internal transcribed spacer 2, and large subunit ribosomal RNA". The stretch from base 1 to 105 matches the Rfam family "5.8S ribosomal RNA", at positions 50 to 154 of the family's 154-position model. The record is from RNAcentral.
GAACUGCGAUAAGUAAUGUGAAUUGCAGAAUUCAGUGAAUCAUCGAGUCUUUGAACGCACAUUGCGCCCCCUGGCAUUCCGGGGGGCAUGCCUGUCCGAGCGUCAUUGCUGCCCUUCAAGCCCGGCUUGUGUGUUGGGUCGUCGUCCCCUCCGGGGGACGGGCCCGAAAGGCAGCGGCGGCACCGCGUCCGGUCCUCGAGCGUAUGGGGCUUUGUCACCCGCUCGAUAAGGACCGGCCGGGCGCCAGCCGGCGUCUCCAACCUUUUUUUCUCAGGUUGACCUCGGAUCAGGUAGGGAUACCCGCUGAACUUAAUC